GAGUUUGAUCAUGGCUCAGGACGAACGCUGGCGGUGCGCCUUAUGCAUGCAAGUUGAGCGAAGCUUUUUGGUAGUUUACUACUAAAAAUGACUGAGCGGCGAACGGGUGAGUAACGCGUGAGCAAUCUACCUUAGUUACUGGGAUAGCCCGAGGAAACUCGGAUUAAUACCGGAUAUUCUUAUUUUUUCACAUGAAGUUUUAAGGAAAGGUCAGCCGAACUAAGAUGAGCUCGCGUUCUAUCAGCUAGUUGGUGGGGUAAAAGCCUACCAAGGCUACGACGGAUAGCUGGUCUGAGAGGACGAUCAGCCACACUGGGACUGAGACACGGCCCAGACUCCUACGGGAGGCUGCAGCAGGGAAUAUUGUGCAAUGAGCGAAAGCUUGACACAGCGACACCGCGUGUGGGAUGACGGUUCUAGGAUUGUAAACCACUUUCAGGAGGGAAGAAAAUGACGGUACCUCCACAAGAAGACCCGGCCAACUAUGUGCCAGCAGCCGCGGUAAUACAUAGGGGUCAAGCGUUGUCCGGAUUUAUUGGGCGUAAAGAGCUCGUAGGCGGUUCAACAAGUCGGUCGUAAAAGUUUAGGGCUCAACCCUAAAAUGUCGAUCGAUACUGUUGUGACUAGGAUACGGUAGAGGUGAAUGGAAUUCCGAGUGUAGCGGUGAAAUGCGUAGAUAUUCGGAGGAACACCAAUUGCGAAGGCAGUUCACUGGACCGUGAUCGACGCUGAGGAGCGAAAGCUAGGGGAGCAAACAGGAUUAGAUACCCUGGGUAGUCCUAGCUGUAAACGAUGGAUACUAGAUGUAGGAACUGGAUUGACGGUUUCUGUAUCGUAGCUAACGCGUUAAGUAUCCCGCCUGGGG
This 865-nucleotide ribosomal RNA is filed under the name uncultured bacterium. Its description in RNAcentral is "bacterial SSU rRNA". It matches the Rfam family "Bacterial small subunit ribosomal RNA", at positions 9 to 878 of the family's 1533-position model. The record is from RNAcentral.